This 418-nucleotide ribosomal RNA is filed under the name Acidimicrobiaceae bacterium. Its description in RNAcentral is "bacterial SSU rRNA". It matches the Rfam family "Bacterial small subunit ribosomal RNA", at positions 1 to 416 of the family's 1533-position model. Lineage: Bacteria; Bacillati; Actinomycetota; Acidimicrobiia; Acidimicrobiales; Acidimicrobiaceae. The record is from RNAcentral.
UCGAUGGAGAGUUUGAUCCUGGCUCAGGACGAACGCUGGCGGCGCGCUUCAUCCAUGCAAGUCGAACGAACCCGAGACUUCGGUCUCAAUGGGAAAGUGGCGAACGGGUGAGUAACACGUGAGAAACCUACCCCGGAGAUGGGAAUAGCCCAGGGAAACCUGGAUUAAUACCCGAUAUCCUGCCUGCACCUCAUGGUGCGUUCAGGAAACGCUCCGGUGCUCCGGGAGGGUCUCGCGGCCUAUCAGCUUGUUGGUGAGGUAACGGCUCACCAAGGCAUCGACGGGUAGCUGGUCUGAGAGGACGAUCAGCCACACUGGGACUGAGACACGGCCCAGACUCCUACGGGAGGCAGCAGGAGGGAAUAUUGCGCAAUGGGCGAAAGCCUGACGCAGCGACGCCGCGUGGGGGAAGAAGGCC